UUAGACAGCUGGCGGCAUGCCUUACACAUGCAAGUCGAACGGCAGCACGGACUUCGGUCUGGUGGCGAGUGGCGAACGGGUGAGUAAUACAUCGGAACGUGUCCUGGAGUGGGGGAUAGCCCGGCGAAAGCCGGAUUAAUACCGCAUACGCUCUGUGGAGGAAAGGGGGGGAUCUUUCGGGACCUCCCGCUCAAGGGGCGGCCGAUGGCAGAUUAGCUAGUUGGUGGGGUAAAGGCCUACCAAGGCGACGAUCUGUAGCUGGUCUGAGAGGACGACCAGCCACACUGGGACUGAGACACGGCCCAGACUCCUACGGGAGGCAGCAGUGGGGAAUUUUGGACAAUGGGCGCAAGCCUGAUCCAGCAAUGCCGCGUGUGUGAAGAAGGCCUUCGGGUUGUAAAGCACUUUUGUCCGGAAAGAAAUCCUUUGGGCUAAUACCCUGGGGGGAUGACGGUACCGGAAGAAUAAGCACCGGCUAACUACGUGCCAGCAGCCGCGGUAAUACGUAGGGUGCAAGCGUUAAUCGGAAUUACUGGGCGUAAGGCGUGCGCAGGCGGUUCGCUAAGACAGAUGUGAAAUCCCCGGGCUUAACCUGGGAACUGCAUUUGUGACUGGCGGGCUAGAGUAUGGCAGAGGGGGGUAGAAUUCCACGUGUA
This 656-nucleotide ribosomal RNA is filed under the name uncultured earthworm cast bacterium. RNAcentral describes it as "bacterial SSU rRNA". It matches the Rfam family "Bacterial small subunit ribosomal RNA", at positions 29 to 677 of the family's 1533-position model. The record is from RNAcentral.